ACCCGCUGAACUUAAGCAUAUCAAUAAGCGGAGGAAAAGAAACCAACAGGGAUUGCCCUAGUAACGGCGAGUGAAGCGGCAACAGCUCAAAUUUGAAAUCUGGCGUCUUCGGCGUCCGAGUUGUAAUUUGCAGAGGGCGCUUUGGCAUCGGCAGCGGUCCAAGUUCCUUGGAACAGGACGUCACAGAGGGUGAGAAUCCCGUACGUGGUCGCUAGCCUUUACCGUGUAAAGCCCCUUCGACGAGUCGAGUUGUUUGGGAAUGCAGCUCUAAAUGGGAGGUAAAUUUCUUCUAAAGCUAAAUACUGGCCAGAGACCGAUAGCGCACAAGUAGAGUGAUCGAAAGAUGAAAAGCACUUUGGAAAGAGAGUUAAAAAGCACGUGAAAUUGUUGAAAGGGAAGCGCUUGCAGCCAGACUUGCCUGUAGUUGCUCAUCCGGGUUUCUACCCGGUGCACUCUUCUAUAGGCAGGCCAGCAUCAGUUUGGGCGGUUGGAUAAAGGUCUCUGUCAUGUACCUCUCUUCGGGGAGAACUUAUAGGGGAGACGACAUGCAACCAGCCUGGACUGAGGUCCGCGCAUCUGCUAGGAUGCUGGCGUAAUAGCUGU
RNAcentral lists this ribosomal RNA (603 nucleotides) under uncultured fungus. RNAcentral's name for it is "eukaryotic LSU rRNA". It matches the Rfam family "Eukaryotic large subunit ribosomal RNA", at positions 23 to 641 of the family's 3401-position model. The record is from RNAcentral. Lineage: Eukaryota; Fungi.